This 496-nucleotide ribosomal RNA is filed under the name uncultured bacterium. RNAcentral describes it as "bacterial SSU rRNA". It matches the Rfam family "Bacterial small subunit ribosomal RNA", at positions 28 to 524 of the family's 1533-position model. The record is from RNAcentral.
GAUGAACGCUGGCUGUGUGCCUAAUACAUGCAUGUCGAACGAAGCACUUGUGCUUAGUGGCGAAUGGGUGAGUAACACGUACUUAAUCUACCUCUAGGUUUGGGACAACAUUUGGAAACGAAUGCUAAUACCGAAUAUACCUUUUAACCGCAUGGUUAAUUGGUAAAAGGCCCGUUUGGGUCGCCAAGAGAUGAGAGUGCGGUACAUUAGUUAGUUGGUAGGGUAAUGGCCUACCAAGACGAUGAUGUAUAGCGGGGUUGAGAAGCUGAACCGCCACACUGGGACUGAGAUACGGCCCAGACUCCUACGGGAGGCAGCAGUAGGGAAUAUUCCACAAUGAGCGAAAGCUUGAUGGAGCGACACAGCGUGCAGGAUGAAGGUCUUCGGAUUGUAAACUGCUGUUAUAAGGGAAGAAAAACCGGUGUAGGAAUGACAUCGGCUUGACGGUACCUUAUCAGAAAGCACCGGCAAACUAUGUGCCAGCCGCCGCGGUAAU